Oncorhynchus tshawytscha (Chinook salmon) is the source of this 1877-nucleotide long non-coding RNA. Lineage: Eukaryota; Metazoa; Chordata; Actinopteri; Salmoniformes; Salmonidae. The record is from Ensembl.
CUUCUGCCCGGUCUUUCUUGCCAAGUAAAAUAUUCCACUUUGCGGUCUGUUUUUAACGCACAGUUAAAAACGGGGACAUUUCCGGGGACAGCUCCAGCCGGGGACAGGCCACCAAAAACGGGGACGCCUGGUCACCCUACUCCAUAUAGCUCCACAUUGACAUGAGUGGGAUGACGGUGCACACAGAGCAGAGUUCUGGAAAUCUCUGCAACCGUAUCCAGAACCUAAUCAGUCACCAUGCUGAUCCAACUGGUCUAAAUCAACCUGGAGUUAAGUCUUGAUUUACAGAAUAAAACAUGUAAAAACCUCUGAAGUCAAUCGGACUCACAACAAGUCAAUGUGUGAUGAGAACACUGAAUCCAGAAUGCUGAUUCUGCUUCAUACCCUGUGUUUUCAUCAUCUCACAUCUACUACUAACGCCAAAGUUAACAGACAUUUAAACUGUCACUUAAUUAUAUAAGCUUUUCAUGAGUGACGGCUGUACAAUUUAGUGUUUAGAUAGUGACCUCACGUAUCUGAAACUUCACCUGGCAGGUUCCAAACAUCUUUUGCACAUCUGAGGUAGAGAGGUCACAGAUGUUCCACAACAGCUUUUCUAAACACCAAAGCUUUGUUUAAUAGAAAGGAAUUACAUGCAUACAGUGAAUUUGGAAAGUAUUCAGACACAUUCACUUUUUCCACACUUUGUUACCUUACAGCCUUAUUCUAAAAUUGAUGAAAUAAAAAAUAAUUGUGAUAUUUCAGUUUACAUUUUUUUAAAUAAAAUUGCAAACAUUUCUAAAAACCUGUUUUUGCUUUGUCAUUAUGGGUUAUUGUGUGUAGAUGGAUGAGGGGGUGAAAACGAUUUAAUGCAUUUUAGAAUAAGUCUGUAAUGUAACAGAAUGUGGAAAAAGUGAAGGGGUCUGAAUGCUUUCUGAAUGCACUGUAUAUUCGCAGUCUGUGCUGGUAUUGGAAUUCUCCUGGCUCCAACGACACAAUCCCCUCAUUAACUGGUCUAUUGGUGUCAUCAUGGGCUGAAGCUCGUUCUGCCAGGCCCAUUGCCUGAAGUCAGCACAACCUGCCCUGGGACGUCUUCCUGGGGAAUUGGAAGGUUCCCCGGACCUCUCCGCCAUUCCCGCGGAGUACCAAAACAUCCGGGAGGUUUUUAACAAGGCCUGGGCCACAUCGUUUCCGCCGCACCGACCCUAUGACUGCGGGAUUGACUUUCUCCCUAGCACCACACUGGGGACGUCUGUACUCUCUGUCGGGACCGGAGACCAAGGCGAUGGUACCUACAUUGGGAACUCUCUAGCUGCUGGAUUUAUCCGUCCCUCUUCCUUUCCCGCCGGAGCAGGCAUCUUCUUCGUGGAGAAAAAGGACAAGACCCUGUGCCCAUGCAUUGACUACCGGGGACUCAACGACAUUACGGUUAAAAAACGUUACCCUCUACCACUCAUCUCCGGCCCUGAUAACCGGAUGUUCGUUCCCGACACUGUCCAUUCCGCAGUCCUGGAGUGGGCCAACUCCUCCAGGCUGGCCUGCCACCCAGGUGCCCGUCAGAUCUUGGCCUUUGUGCAACAGUGCUUUUGGUGGCCUACCAAGGUCCCUGACAUGUCCACAUUUGUCACAGCUUGCACAGUUGUGCACAGAAUAAGACUCCUCGGCAAACUCCGGCUGGUCUCCUCUAACCUCUGCCUGUCCCCCACCGUCUCUGAUCUCACAACUCCCUGGACUUUGUCACAGGUCUUCCCCCAUCUGAUGGCACCACCGCCAUCCUGACUGGUGGAUUGGUUCUCCAAAGCCGCUCACUUCAUUCCUCUCCCCAAACUACCCUCUGCCAAAGAGACGGUCCAGCUCAUGGUGCAGCACGUCUUCCGGAUCCAUGGACUGCCCGUGGA